GACGAACGCUGGCGGCGUGCCUAAUACAUGCAAGUCGAGCGGACGGAUGGGAGCUUGCUCCCAGACCGUCAGCGGCGGACGGGUGAGUAACACGUGGGCAACCUGCCUGUAAGACUGGGAUAACUCCGGGAAACCGGGGCUAAUACCGGAUAACUCUUUCCCUCACAUGAGGGAAAGCUGAAAGAUGGCAUCUCGCUAUCACUUACAGAUGGGCCCGCGGCGCAUUAGCUAGUUGGUGAGGUAACGGCUCACCAAGGCGACGAUGCGUAGCCGACCUGAGAGGGGGAUCGGCAACACUGGGACUGAGACACGGCCCAGACUCCUAAGGGAGGCAGCAGUAGGGAAUCUUCCGCAAUGGACGAAAGUCUGACGGAGCAACGCCGCGUGAGUGAUGAAGGUUUUCGGAUCGUAAAACUCUGUUGUCAGGGAAGAACAAGUACCGGAGUAACUGCCGGUACCUUGACGGUACCUGACCAGAAAGCCACGGCUAACUCCGUG
RNAcentral lists this ribosomal RNA (498 nucleotides) under uncultured bacterium. Its description in RNAcentral is "partial 16S ribosomal RNA". It matches the Rfam family "Bacterial small subunit ribosomal RNA", at positions 28 to 507 of the family's 1533-position model. The record is from RNAcentral.